This is a long non-coding RNA of Zonotrichia albicollis (white-throated sparrow), 1802 nucleotides long. RefSeq lists it as uncharacterized. The record is from RefSeq and is a predicted model, not a curated record. Lineage: Eukaryota; Metazoa; Chordata; Aves; Passeriformes; Passerellidae.
GCAGGCACAGGAGGCUUUUGCAUUCAGCUCCUUGAAGAGCAUCUCGAGAAUGAAGACAGACCAAGAAAUGAAUUUGAGAAAUGCUUUGCUAAAAUAAAAAGCCAAAGGGCCUAUAUUUCCUUUUUGUCCUGAUGCCCUGAAAGCGCUUAAUUAAGGAAGUAAUUUAAUUUUGAACUUUACUGACUGUCUGGUUUAUUACGCGGCAAAUGUGGGCCCUUCAGAGCUUUCAACAUUUCCUUGCUGGAAGUAGAGCAGGACUGCUGCAAACUUGGAAGAUCUCUGUUUUCUUCUUCAAGAGACCAUGAACUUAUUUUUCCCUGAGCUGGGCAGUUACUUGUAUGGAUUUACAGCAAGUGCAAUAAGCCUCCAGGCUGGAGAGAAGGAGUUUUACUGGCCAUGCAUAUGUGCUGGUGCCCCAAAAUGGGCAGAAAGGAUCAGUCCCUUCUGGAUUAAUCUCUUGAGCUACCACUCAGUUGCAACCACCUGUCGUGACCUACAGCUAACAGAGCUGAAAGGACAGUGAUUCUUUCAUGCAAGGAGAGCCAGCAGAGUGAUUGCAGCCAAGUUCUGGCUGGAGGCACCCUGGGGCUGGCUGCUGCUUUAUUGUGUUAAGAGGAUGUCAGAAGUCACAUUUUUGUUUGUCUGACCUGGAUUUAUGGAAAAACGUCUGUCAGAUGACUGGAUGCUGUAGAAAAGUCUGCUGGGAGAAUCUCCAUCAUCAGGAUCUCUAGCUGUUAUAUUGGCAACACUGGUGCCUGGGCUUUGCUCCUCUGGAAUCCGAUUCUUCACCCCUUUAUCCACCAAGGUCCAGAUCAUUGGCCUCAGCCCAGGAACCAUGUGUUGCUCUAAGUAGAGACAACACCCAGAAGAUUGUUCCAAACAAGUGGUGGAACCUCCUGGCAUGAUGGCCCCAGGUGCUAUCCUGUCUCCACUUUUGCAGAGAUGGCAGGAGAAGAGCCAUCAUAAAUAUUCUCACCAGGGACCUUGUGGAGUCUGACAAUCAGGAGACACAAUGACAGUGCCUUAAAUCCCAUCAGUGUCUCAUCAGUGACAUAGAUAAAUCAACAACUGUUAGUCAGAUCAACUGUAGUAAUUGUCAAGCUCCUGCUUCAGGAACAACCAUCCAUUGUGCUUUCCAGAGCAAAACAGCCUGCUUGUAGCACAUGCAUAUUUGUUCCCAUUUUUCUAAAUUCUUAAUAUAUCCUGACUCCAUUAGCCUUCAAAAGCUAUUUCUGACUUGUGUGUUAUGACACAAUUUCCUGCUUAUGACACAGUAAGAGACAACAACGUUUCAAAGAUCACCAGGAUUGUUUACAAGUGUGUCUGGGAAGAGAAGACUGAUCAAAAGGGAGACCUUUUUAUGUCUAGACAUUUCUGCAUGAAUAACACAAUUAUGGUGAAAUGCACACCUGCAUAAGGAGAGAACCCUAUAUGAUUGUAUUCACACCGGGUGAAAUCAACCUCCUUGUCUGAACUUGUCCAUGAAUCUUUGCAUAGCUUUAACCUCUGUAAAUGCUAACAAGUAAAACAAGCUUGUUUGGCUGUUCUUAGUGUAAAGACAGAGCCUGGAAAACUUUCAACUAUUAAGAAUACAAAUAAGAAUAAAUGAGUGACAUCAGGACAAAGCUUUCCAGUAUAAGAAUAGGAAUUAUAGCAAAACUAAAAUACUUUUUUCAGUCAUAUUUUGUUGUCAUAUGUUAAACCCUCCCACUGGUGCCAAAGCAGUAAACCUGAGAAAACCCCUACAUUUUGAGAGCAAGGGAAAAUUUUUACUCACGUGGUAAAGUAAGGCCUUUCAUCAU